AGAGCGGCGGAUGCCGGGAAGUUGGUCAAACUUGAUCAUUUAGAGGAAGUAAAAGUCGUAACAAGGUUUCCGUAGGUGAACCUGCGGAAGGAUCAUUACCGAUAGCACGAAUCCAAACUGGUUAUCAUUAACCCGUGUGAACUGUACUUAACCUUUAGGGGUCGGUCGCCGUGCCGUUAAAUGGUCGUUCGUCCGUUGAUUCGGCGUUCGGCCAGCCCCGCCUUUCGCCAUUGUGGACGCACUUGAAUGUAGCAGUCUGAAACGAACCUUGCUGCCCGUCCUGUCGGGCAGUAGUGAGUGUAAAAGAAAACGAGAGAGACAACUUUUAACGGUGGAUCUCUUGGCUCACGUAUCGAUGAAGAACGCAGCCAGCUGCGAUAAGUAGUGUGAAUUGCAGAAUUCAGUGAAUCAUUGAAUCUUUGAACGCAAAUGGCGCUCUUGGGUUCUCCCAGGAGCAUGUCUGUCUGAGUGUCGGAUAUUAUCUAACGCACUCGAAAGUGCGGAAUUGAGGCGUCACGGCGUAGUAGACAAAACACAAGUCGCCGUGUCCCUUGAAGGAAAGCGCGCUAGACUCGCAUCGUGCGGUUUCAAACCUGCACUCCAUGCGAAGGCUAAAACUAUUUUGUCCUUCGUCGGGGUGCGGGUCCGCGACAGCGCGAGUCGGCCGAAG
This 670-nucleotide unclassified non-coding RNA is filed under the name Rhizopsammia verrilli. Its description in RNAcentral is "sequence contains ITS1, 5.8S rRNA gene and ITS2". The stretch from base 321 to 474 matches the Rfam family "5.8S ribosomal RNA". The record is from RNAcentral. Lineage: Eukaryota; Metazoa; Cnidaria; Anthozoa; Scleractinia; Dendrophylliidae.